UAAUUUAGGCCCGCUAAAAUAUAGCCUAACGGCAAAGCAGGCGGUUGGCUGCUUUGUUAACCACCGUUGUGAUUUCUUCUCCACUCUACUGAUCAUUUGUCUUCUAUUUUUCAGCAAAACCCUAGAAAAAUUUCUAAUUUUUGCAAAGUUAAUCUAUUAAUCAACACUCAAGUUCUAGGAGCUUUGGUUUACUGCACCAUUCGCAAAAAUAAAGGAGAAGAUAAUAGCAGAUCAGGCCAUUUGCAUAUGAUGCCUACAUUGUGUAUCCGAAGAAGAAGCUGGAGUAGAUGCAUCAUUGCAUAAUGAACUCACGAGUUAUGAUGUUGUUAAGUUAGAAGCAGACUGCUUUGACGGAGGAGCACUUUGAGCCUAUCAGGGAUGAUAGAUGAGUUUGAGCGAUGGUGCUACACCCUCAGAUUCUGAGGAUGAAAGCAGACUGGUUUUGAUAUUGCAGGCUGGUUGUAUGAAGGAUGAAAAGUUAGCAAAGGCGUUUCUUUUGCAGCUUCUCACUUGUCAAUGAGGACACUUCUCCUUUAGGAGAGAGAUCGAGUGGCUGCUUUGCUGGCCGAGCUAAUAUCAUCAUGUCUGCUUAAUUAAGGCUAAACCGGGAGGGUUGAUAACACAGAGUCGUCUAUCUAUAUAUUAUAUUAAAAGACAAGCGCCUCAAUGUGAGGAUGGCAAAUGUCACUCUCUCAUUGACUUAUCUUAAGUAUAAAAUAUAUCUAUAUAAUUACUGUUUACAUAUUCAAGCAUAGUUAUUUUUGUUAAACU
Molecule: long non-coding RNA, 771 nt
Organism: Chenopodium quinoa (quinoa)
Lineage: Eukaryota; Viridiplantae; Streptophyta; Magnoliopsida; Caryophyllales; Amaranthaceae
Exons: 4
Source: RefSeq, a predicted model, not a curated record